This 112-nucleotide small nucleolar RNA is filed under the name Vicugna pacos (alpaca). Its description in RNAcentral is "Small nucleolar RNA U3 (ENSVPAG00000017985.1)". The stretch from base 1 to 41 matches the Rfam family "Small nucleolar RNA U3", at positions 1 to 41 of the family's 219-position model. Lineage: Eukaryota; Metazoa; Chordata; Mammalia; Artiodactyla; Camelidae. The record is from RNAcentral.
AAGACUGUACUUUCAGGGAUCAUUUCUGUAGUUCCUUUCCCUUCAGUGAUUUGCUCCUUAAUCCCUCAGCCCUGCCCGAUCCCCCCGACACACAGUGAAACUCACAAAUAGG